UACGUAGGGGGCAAGCGUUAUCCGGAUUUACUGGGUGUAAAGGGAGCGUAGACGGAUGGACAAGUCUGAUGUGAAAGGCUGGAGCUCAACCCCGGGACUGCAUUGGAAACUGCCCGUCUUGAGUGCCGGAGAGGUAAGCGGAAUUCCUAGUGUAGCGGUGAAAUGCGUAGAUAUUAGGAGGAACACCAGUGGCGAAGGCGGCUUACUGGACGGUAACUGACGUUGAGGCUCGAAAGCGUGGGGAGCAAACAGG
This 253-nucleotide ribosomal RNA is filed under the name Blautia luti. RNAcentral describes it as "partial 16S ribosomal RNA". It matches the Rfam family "Bacterial small subunit ribosomal RNA", at positions 524 to 776 of the family's 1533-position model. The record is from RNAcentral. Lineage: Bacteria; Bacillati; Bacillota; Clostridia; Lachnospirales; Lachnospiraceae.